This 778-nucleotide ribosomal RNA is filed under the name uncultured bacterium. RNAcentral describes it as "bacterial SSU rRNA". It matches the Rfam family "Bacterial small subunit ribosomal RNA", at positions 54 to 820 of the family's 1533-position model. The record is from RNAcentral.
CAUGCAAGUCGAGGGGCAGCAUGAUUUGUAGCAAUACAGAUUGAUGGCGACCGGCGCACGGGUGAGUAACGCGUAUGCAACUUACCUAUCAGAGGGGGAUAGCCCGGCGAAAGUCGGAUUAAUACCCCAUAAAACAGGGGUCCCGCAUGGGAAUAUUUGUUAAAGAUUCAUCGCUGAUAGAUAGGCAUGCGUUCCAUUAGGCAGUUGGCGGGGUAACGGCCCACCAAACCGACGAUGGAUAGGGGUUCUGAGAGGAAGGUCCCCCACAUUGGUACUGAGACACGGACCAAACUCCUACGGGAGGCAGCAGUGAGGAAUAUUGGUCAAUGGCCGAGAGGCUGAACCAGCCAAGUCGCGUGAAGGAAGAAGGAUCUAUGGUUUGUAAACUUCUUUUAUAGGGGAAUAAAGUGGAGGACGUGUCCUUUUUUGUAUGUACCCUAUGAAUAAGCAUCGGCUAACUCCGUGCCAGCAGCCGCGGUAAUACGGAGGAUGCGAGCGUUAUCCGGAUUUAUUGGGUUUAAAGGGUGCGUAGGUGGUGAUUUAAGUCAGCGGUGAAAGUUUGUGGCUCAACCAUAAAAUUGCCGUUGAAACUGGGUUGCUUGAGUGUGUUUGAGGUAGGCGGAAUGCGUGGUGUAGCGGUGAAAUGCAUAGAUAUCACGCAGAACUCCGAUUGCGAAGGCAGCUUACUAAACCAUAACUGACACUGAAGCACGAAAGCGUGGGGAUCAAACAGGAUUAGAUACCCUGGUAGUCCACGCAGUAAACGAUGAUUACUAGG